GCUCGCAUCGGUAGCGCGUAGAGUAAAAUUGGAACAAUACAGAGAUUAGCAUGCCCCCUUCACAAGGAUGACAUGCAAAUUUGUGAAGCUUUUCCAAAAAAA
Molecule: small nuclear RNA, 102 nt
Organism: Suncus etruscus (white-toothed pygmy shrew)
Lineage: Eukaryota; Metazoa; Chordata; Mammalia; Eulipotyphla; Soricidae
Source: RefSeq, a predicted model, not a curated record